GAUGAACGCUAGCGGCAGGCCUAAUACAUGCAAGACGAACGGUAAGUUGAGUAGCAAUACUUAGCCAAGAGUGUCGUACGGGUGCGUAACACGUAUGCAACCUACCCUAUACAGGAGGAUAGCCUAGGGAAACCUGGAUUAACCCUUCAUAGUAUUAUUGGAUUGGCAUCAUUUGAUAAUUAAAACUGAGGUGGUAUAGGAUGGGCAUGCGUCUGAUUAGUUAGUUGGCGGGGUAAUGGCCCACCAAGACGAUGAUCAGUAGGGGUUCUGAGAGGAAGAUCCCCCACACUGGCACUGAGAUACGGGCCAGACUCCUAC
RNAcentral lists this ribosomal RNA (318 nucleotides) under uncultured bacterium. RNAcentral's name for it is "bacterial SSU rRNA". It matches the Rfam family "Bacterial small subunit ribosomal RNA", at positions 28 to 342 of the family's 1533-position model. The record is from RNAcentral.